This 54-nucleotide transfer RNA is filed under the name Garnotia stricta var. longiseta. RNAcentral describes it as "tRNA-Met". The record is from RNAcentral. Lineage: Eukaryota; Viridiplantae; Streptophyta; Magnoliopsida; Poales; Poaceae.
GUAGAGCUGUUUGGUAGUUCACAAAGUUCAUAACCUUGGGGUUACGGGUUCGAU